This 835-nucleotide ribosomal RNA is filed under the name uncultured bacterium. RNAcentral describes it as "bacterial SSU rRNA". It matches the Rfam family "Bacterial small subunit ribosomal RNA", at positions 9 to 826 of the family's 1533-position model. The record is from RNAcentral.
GAGUUUGAUCCUGGCUCAGGACGAACGCUGGCGGCGUGCCUAAUACAUGCAAGUUGAACGAUGAUUUCUGGUACUUGUAUCAGAAUGAAGAGUAGCGAACGGGUGAGUAACGCGUGGGUAACCUACCUCUUAGCGGGGGACAACUAUUGGAAACGAUAGCUAAUACCGCAUAACAAUUCUAAACACAUGUUUAACAUUUGAAAGUACCAAUUGGUACACUAGGAGAUGGACCCGCGUUGUAUUAGCUAGUUGGUAGUGUAAUGGACUACCAAGGCGAUGAUACAUAGCCGACCUGAGAGGGCGAUCGGCCACAUUGGGACUGAGACACGGCCCAAACUCCUACGGGAGGCAGCAGUAGGGAAUCUUCGGCAAUGGACGAAAGUCUGACCGAGCAACGCCGCGUGAGUGAAGAAGGUUUUCGGAUCGUAAAACUCUGUUGUUAGAGAAGAACGUUGUGUAGAGUGGAAAAUUACACAAGUGACGGUAUCUAACCAGAAAGGGACGGCUAACUACGUGCCAGCAGCCGCGGUAAUACGUAGGUCCCGAGCGUUGUCCGGAUUUAUUGGGCGUAAAGCGAGCGCAGGUGGCUUAAUAAGUCUGAUGUAAAAGGCAGUGGCUCAACCAUUGUGUGCAUUGGAAACUGUUAGACUUGAGUGCAGUAGAGGAGAGUGGAAUUCCAUGUGUAGCGGUGAAAUGCGUAGAUAUAUGGAGGAACACCGGUGGCGAAAGCGGCUCUCUGGACAGUAACUGACACUGAGGCUCGAAAGCGUGGGUAGCAAACAGGAUUAGAUACCCCUGGUAGUCCACGCCGUAAACGAUGAGUGCUAGUUGUUUG